RNAcentral lists this ribosomal RNA (464 nucleotides) under Vreelandella stevensii. Its description in RNAcentral is "partial 16S ribosomal RNA". It matches the Rfam family "Bacterial small subunit ribosomal RNA", at positions 338 to 795 of the family's 1533-position model. Lineage: Bacteria; Pseudomonadati; Pseudomonadota; Gammaproteobacteria; Oceanospirillales; Halomonadaceae. The record is from RNAcentral.
CCUACGGGGGCUGCAGUGGGGAAUAUUGGACAAUGUGCGAAAGCCUGAUCCAGCCAUGCCGCGUGUGUGAAGAAGGCCUUCGGGUUGUAAAGCACUUUCAGUGGGGAAGAAAGCCUUGGGGCUAAUACCCUCGAGGAAGGACAUCACCCACAGAAGAAGCACCGGCUAACUCCGUGCCAGCAGCCGCGGUAAUACGGAGGGUGCGAGCGUUAAUCGGAAUUACUGGGCGUAAAGCGCGCGUAGGCGGUCUGAUAAGCCGGUUGUGAAAGCCCCGGGCUCAACCUGGGAACGGCAUCCGGAACUGUCAGGCUAGAGUGCAGGAGAGGAAGGUAGAAUUCCCGGUGUAGCGGUGAAAUGCGUAGAGAUCGGGAGGAAUACCAGUGGCGAAGGCGGCCUUCUGGACUGACACUGACGCUGAGGUGCGAAAGCGUGGGUAGCAAACAGGAUUAGAUACCCGAGUAGUC